This is a long non-coding RNA of Bufo bufo (common toad), 159 nucleotides long. RefSeq lists it as uncharacterized. NCBI's taxonomy places the organism in Eukaryota, Metazoa, Chordata, Amphibia, Anura, Bufonidae. The transcript has 3 exons. The record is from RefSeq and is a predicted model, not a curated record.
GGUUUCCUCCCACACUCCAAAGACAUACUGAUAUGAAACUUAGAUUGCGAGCUCCAUUGGAGACAGCAAGCAAUGAGAAUGUCCGUAAAGUGCCGCAGAAUACGUCAGCGCUAUAUAAGUGAAAUAAAAAAAUAAAUAAAAUCUAUUUCCGCUAACUUG